This 434-nucleotide ribosomal RNA is filed under the name uncultured bacterium. RNAcentral's name for it is "partial 16S ribosomal RNA". It matches the Rfam family "Bacterial small subunit ribosomal RNA", at positions 29 to 507 of the family's 1533-position model. The record is from RNAcentral.
AGCGAACGCUGGCGGCAGGCCUAACACAUGCAAGUCGAACGAACCUUUCGGGGUUAGUGGCGGACGGGUGAGUAACACGUGGGAACGUGCCUUUAGGUUCGGAAUAACUCAGGGAAACUUGUGCUAAUACCGAAUGUGCCCUUCGGGGGAAAGAUUUAUCGCCUUUAGAGCGGCCCGCGUCUGAUUAGCUAGUUGGUUGAGGUAAUGGCUCACCAAGGCGACGAUCAGUAGCUGGUCUGAGAGGAUGAUCAGCCACAUUGGGACUGAGACACGGCCCAAACUCCUACGGGAGGCAGCAGUGGGGAAUAUUGCGCAAUGGGCGAAAGCCUGACGCAGCCAUGCCGCGUGAAUGAUGAAGGUCUUAGGAUUGUAAAAUUCUUUCACCGGGGACGAUAAUGACGGUACCCGGAGAAGAAGCCCCGGCUAACUUCGUG